ACCCACUGUAGGAGCGAGCUUGCUCGCGAUCUUUUAAAAAGAUCAAAAGAUCGCGAGCAAGCUCGCUCCUACAGACGUU
This 79-nucleotide non-coding RNA is filed under the name Pseudomonas psychrophila. The record is from RNAcentral. Lineage: Bacteria; Pseudomonadati; Pseudomonadota; Gammaproteobacteria; Pseudomonadales; Pseudomonadaceae.